UUGGAAGUGAAAGUGAAAGAACU
This 23-nucleotide non-coding RNA is filed under the name Cricetulus griseus (Chinese hamster). The record is from RNAcentral. Lineage: Eukaryota; Metazoa; Chordata; Mammalia; Rodentia; Cricetidae.